This 566-nucleotide ribosomal RNA is filed under the name Saccharomycopsis fibuligera. RNAcentral's name for it is "partial large subunit ribosomal RNA". It matches the Rfam family "Eukaryotic large subunit ribosomal RNA", at positions 62 to 648 of the family's 3401-position model. The record is from RNAcentral. Lineage: Eukaryota; Fungi; Ascomycota; Saccharomycetes; Ascoideales; Saccharomycopsidaceae.
AAACCAACAGGGAUUGCCUUAGUAACGGCGAGUGAAGCGGCAAAAGCUCAAAUUUGAAAGCUAGCACCUUCGGUGUUCGCGUUGUAAUUUGAAGAUAGUUUCCUUGAGUAGUCCUUUAUCUAUGUUCCUUGGAACAGGACGUCAUAGAGGGUGAGAACCCCGUAUGAUUUUGGAUACUACUCUUUGUGGGAUUCUAUCGAAGAGUCGAGUUGUUUGGGAAUGCAGCUCUAAGUGGGUGAUAAAUUCCAUCUAAAGCUAAAUAUUGGCGAGAGACCGAUAGCGAACAAGUACAGUGAUGGAAAGAUGAAAAGAACUCUGAAGAGAGAGUGAAAAAGUACGUGAAAUUGCUGAAAGGGAAGGGCUUGAGGUCAGACUUGGUGUUUAAUGAUUAUCAGUUCUUCUUGGACUGUGCACUCGUUUUUCACCGGGCCAAUAUCAGUUUUAGCGGUAGAGUACCCCUUGAAAUGUGGCUUCCUUCGGGGAGUGUUAUAGUCUUGGGGAGAUCUACUUGCUGGGACUGAGGACUGCGCUUCGGCAAGGAUAUUGGCAUAAUGACCUUAAGCCGC